UACGUAGGGGGCUAGCGUUGUUCGGAAUUACUGGGCGUAAAGCGCGCGCAGGCGGGUCAUCAAGUCAGAGGUGAAAUCCCAGAGCUCAACUCUGGAACUGCCUUUGAAACUGGUGACCUUGAGUACGGGAGAGGUGAGUGGAAUUCCCAGUGUAGAGGUGAAAUUCGUAGAUAUUAGGAAGAACACCAGUGGCGAAGGCGCCUUACUGGCUCGAUCCUGACGCUGAGGUGCGAAAGUGUGGGGAGCAAACAGG
Molecule: ribosomal RNA, 253 nt
Filed under: uncultured bacterium
Lineage: Bacteria
Description: partial 16S ribosomal RNA
Rfam family: Bacterial small subunit ribosomal RNA
Source: RNAcentral